GCCGACAGGAAGCGUCGAUGCUUCCUAGGGCUAAACAGCGGUGGUAUUAUUCCCUUAAUGGGGCUGUCACAUUAAGUUGACAGUAUACAGCUACUUUAUCGUAUCACUACUGCAUAACUCUCUCUGAGAGAUUUAGAAAUGUAUUAUUU
This is a long non-coding RNA of Octopus sinensis (East Asian common octopus), 149 nucleotides long. RefSeq lists it as uncharacterized. The record is from RefSeq and is a predicted model, not a curated record. Lineage: Eukaryota; Metazoa; Mollusca; Cephalopoda; Octopoda; Octopodidae. The transcript has 2 exons.